UCUGGUGGGUCUCACGCAACGCGUGGUGGUACUCAUCAUACCAAAAGAAGUUACAGCGGGGAUCGCCAAAUCUGGGACCGGCACUAGGACACUUGUAAUACCAUCGACCCGGGUAUAAUGCCUUUGGACCAGCACACAAAAGGACCAUCCCUGUGACACAACGACAAUACAGAGCGAGUCUUCCUUCCAUGACCUGUGACACAUAAGACAAUACCAUAUAAGAAGUGACGCAAUAAUAGGCAGACACUCAUACGGCGCAAAGAAAUGAAUAUAGGUUAUUGA
This 282-nucleotide long non-coding RNA is filed under the name Salvia miltiorrhiza (redroot sage). Its description in RNAcentral is "long non-coding RNA (SMIL_LNC014238)". Lineage: Eukaryota; Viridiplantae; Streptophyta; Magnoliopsida; Lamiales; Lamiaceae. The record is from RNAcentral.